Molecule: ribosomal RNA, 468 nt
Filed under: uncultured bacterium
Lineage: Bacteria
Description: partial 16S ribosomal RNA
Rfam family: Bacterial small subunit ribosomal RNA
Source: RNAcentral
GACGAACGCUGGCGGCGUGCUUAACACAUGCAAGUCGAACGGAAAGGCCCUGCUUUUGUGGGGUGCUCGAGUGGCGAACGGGUGAGUAACACGUGAGUAACCUGCCCUUGACUUUGGGAUAACUUCAGGAAACUGGGGCUAAUACCGGAUAGGAGCUCCUGCUGCAUGGUGGGGGUUGGAAAGUUUCGGCGGUUGGGGAUGGACUCGCGGCUUAUCAGCUUGUUGGUGGGGUAGUGGCUUACCAAGGCUUUGACGGGUAGCCGGCCUGAGAGGGUGACCGGCCACAUUGGGCCUGGGAUACGGCCCAGACUCCUACGGGAGGCAGCAGUGGGGUAUAUUGCACAAUGGGCGGAAGCCUGAUGCAGCAACGCCGCGUGCGGGAUGACGGCCUUCGGGUUGUAAACCGCUUUCGCCUGUGACGAAGCAUGAGUGACGGUAAUGGGUAAAGAAGCACCGGCUAACUACGUG